AUUCUGUUGACGAGUCCCAAAUUGAACGAAACGCGUGUCAAACUAGAU
RNAcentral lists this non-coding RNA (48 nucleotides) under Schistosoma margrebowiei. Lineage: Eukaryota; Metazoa; Platyhelminthes; Trematoda; Strigeidida; Schistosomatidae. The record is from RNAcentral.